CCUACGGGUGGCAGCAGUGAGGAAUAUUGGUCAAUGGGCGCGAGCCUGAACCAGCCAAGUCGCGUGAGGGAUGACGGCCCUACGGGUUGUAAACCUCUUUUGCCGGGGAGCAACGGGCGCCACGUGUGGCGCCACUUAGAGUACCCGGAGAAAAAGCAUCGGCUAACUCCGUGCCAGCAGCCGCGGUAAUACGGAGGAUGCGAGCGUUAUCCGAAUUUAUUGGGUUUAAAGGGUGCUUGGGCGGAUGGUUAAGUAAGUGGUCAAAUUGGGGGGCCAAACCUCUUCCCGCCAUUGAUACUGGCGCUCUUGAGUGGAAGAGAAGUAUGCGGAAUGCGUGGUGUAGCGGUGAAAUGCAUAGAUAUCACGCAGAACCCCGAUUGCGAAGGCAGCAUGCCGGCUUCCGACUGACGCUGAAGCACGAAAGCGUGGGGAUCGAACAGGAUUAGAUACCCUAGUAGUC
RNAcentral lists this ribosomal RNA (460 nucleotides) under uncultured bacterium. RNAcentral describes it as "partial 16S ribosomal RNA". It matches the Rfam family "Bacterial small subunit ribosomal RNA", at positions 338 to 795 of the family's 1533-position model. The record is from RNAcentral.